RNAcentral lists this ribosomal RNA (468 nucleotides) under uncultured bacterium. RNAcentral's name for it is "partial 16S ribosomal RNA". It matches the Rfam family "Bacterial small subunit ribosomal RNA", at positions 28 to 507 of the family's 1533-position model. The record is from RNAcentral.
GACGAACGCUGGCGGCGUGCUUAACACAUGCAAGUCGAACGGAAAGGCCCUGCUUUUGUGGGGUGCUCGAGUGGCGAACGGGUGAGUAACACGUGAGUAACCUGCCCUUGACUUUGGGAUAACUUCAGGAAACUGGGGCUAAUACCGGAUAGGAGCUCCUGCUGCAUGGUGGGGGUUGGAAAGUUUCGGCGGUUGGGGAUGGACUCGCGGCUUAUCAGCUUGUUGGUGGGGUAGUGGCUUACCAAGGCUUUGACGGGUAGCCGGGCUGAGAGGGUGACCGGCCACAUUGGGACUGAGAUACGGCCCAGACCCCUACGGGAGGGAGCAGUGGGGAAUAGUGCACAAUGGGCGGAAGCCUGAUGCAGCAACGCCGCGUGCGGGAUGACGGCCUUCGGGUUGGAAACCGCUUUCGCCUGUGACGAAGCGUGAGUGGCGGUAAUGGGUAAAGAAGCACCGGCUAACUACGUG